Rhineura floridana is the source of this 2133-nucleotide long non-coding RNA. RefSeq lists it as uncharacterized. The record is from RefSeq and is a predicted model, not a curated record. NCBI's taxonomy places the organism in Eukaryota, Metazoa, Chordata, Lepidosauria, Squamata, Rhineuridae. The transcript has 3 exons.
CCAGGACACAUUCAGCAUAGCUUCAGUAGCAAUUCUCCACUAUAAAAUGGAACUUCAGAAACACACACGUCAGUGUCAGGUUUUCAUAUCAAUAUUGCAAGGCAAAGCAUCGAAUGGUCAACAAAAUACGACAACUUCCUUAGGUGUCAUAUAGUAUUUAAGAGAAGAGACGAUAUACAAAGGGCAUCAGAAGAUUUGCUGGAAACCCCCAUCACUGGCUAUAUUCAGAAAACAAAAAGGCACAGAAAGAAGAGCUCUUCUUUCUCACAGCUGUGGAAUCUCUCCACCUCCCACCCCGGAAAAAUGCCAAAAAGACUAAGUGUCUUUCUGAGACACUGUAAGACCUUUGUUUGUCUGGCUUCUGUGGUCAGUAUUUAGUUAACAGAACUUUAAAAAAAUGUAUGUUUUAUUUGAUUUUCGUUGAUUGUAUGUAUUCCUUCACAUUUAUUGUUAUACUCUUAUUAUCUUUGUGAUAGGUAGGUAAGAAUUAAAAGAAUUAAAAGACAUGAUAUAUUAACCCUUCUGCUUUGAAAUAAAAAUUAAAAACUUGCUGGAUUUUAGAUAAUAAAACAAACCCAACCACUCCUUCAACUUUAGAGUAAUGUUAAUAUAAUGCCACUGAAUACAUAAACCAUAACCAUUGUUAAAUACUUAAAUUGUAACACAAAUGCCCUUUUCAUUCCCGGCUAUUAAGGUAAUUCCUCAGAUUUCAACCUUCAGACUGAUUUCAUGGUAAUUCAUCAUGGACACAAGAUUUUAAGCAAGAUACACAUCCAAAAGGUUUUAUGACCAGCUGCGCUGCAGACAUCUGUGUUCUUUCACAAGAAACAGUGUAUCUGUAAAUGGCAUUAAACAAAGAUUUAAGGGCAUAGUGGUACAGAGUUAAUAAUUUCUUAGCAAGAACUCAGCAGCUGCAAAUGACCAUGUUUUGCAGCAAAAAAAAGUAUUCCUUUAUAUGCAACCCCCAAGUAAAAAAGAACCUACAGACUGUGUCAGUAAUGUAUAUUACCACCAAUUAAGCAUAUACUUCAAUUUUUAUUAGGAGUCAGGGGGUGGGAGUUAAGUACCCCAGUAUGCAAUUGGCUAUUUGAACGUAAGCAAGUGGCCCUAAAUUAGAAAAACUGUCAGCUUUUGUUUUUCUUUUAAUUUCAACAGCCAUGAUCAGAUUGUAAGCUUUGACCUAUUAGAUACAAAAGACAGUGAUGCAGCAUUAAUAUGGCACAGUACACAGUAUUAAAAUGUCUAUGUAAAAAAAAAACAUGAUUAGAUUCCAUUUCAAUCAUUUCAAUCCAUCAAUUUGUUGUCUUACACAUUUCUGGGACUAUGAGUAUUUACCAGCAGGUGGAGUCAAACAUCAAACAGCGAGAGACGCUCACUAGUAUGGGGGGGGGGGAUACAAUAACAAAAAUACGCCAAAUGAAUUGAAAAUUCAAUCACUUUUUGUGUGUAAUUGUUUUAGAUUAAGUUACCUUGCCAAACUGUUAAAAUAUACCAAUAGUUGACAAGAUAUUUUAAAUGCUUGUGUUGUUUAUAUGUAAUACAUUUCAGUUCCCCAUUCUCUCUAUCUUUGUCUGCACUCUCAGAGAAAACCACCCUAGAUAACCAACAGGCAGAAAUAAUACACUUUUGCUAAUAUAAUUGAACAGAGUAUGAAUGUCUUUGAUAAUUCAACCAUUCAGCAUUUCAAGAAACUGGUGAACCCAGCAACAAAACAAACUAUCUAAACAAGUAAAGAUUUUAACUUAUGGCUCAAAUUAUAUUACAAAGUGGUAUAUGAAAAUACCAAUACAUUUUUCAACAAUAUUGUUUGAAGAAGUUUUUAAUGUGCUACCAUGUACAUGUAUAAGCUUCAAGAUUAUGAGGGCUCAUCCAGACGACUGUAUAAUGUGUGACAUGAUUGCUUUGUGUUCUCAUUAUUUUUCGGUCGUCCAGAUGACCUCACAUGCUUUUGCGCAUUUUCACGUGAUUAAAUCCACUUUGGCAAAACUGCAAAAAAUGCGAUUUGCUUUUUUAAAUUGGGAACCAUCUGCUGUGCCUUCAGCCGCUCGGAUGCAAUACCGUGGACUUUACAGCUGUGGGCGGUUCUUGGGCGUUUCCUUCCCUCACUCCCAGCCAAUCACGUAUUUCCACUUU